This 468-nucleotide ribosomal RNA is filed under the name uncultured bacterium. Its description in RNAcentral is "partial 16S ribosomal RNA". It matches the Rfam family "Bacterial small subunit ribosomal RNA", at positions 28 to 507 of the family's 1533-position model. The record is from RNAcentral.
GACGAACGCUGGCGGCGUGCUUAACACAUGCAAGUCGAACGGAAAGGCCCUGCUUUUGUGGGGUGCUCGAGUGGCGAACGGGUGAGUAACACGUGAGUAACCUGCCCUUGACUUUGGGAUAACUUCAGGAAACUGGGGCUAAUACCGGAUAGGAGCUCCUGCUGCAUGGUGGGGGUUGGAAAGUUUCGGCGGUUGGGGAUGGACUCGCGGCUUAUCAGCUUGUUGGUGGGGUAGUGGCUUACCAAGGCUUUGACGGGUAGCCGGCCUGAGAGGGUGACCGGCCACAUGGGGACUGAGAUACGGCCCAGACGCCUACGGGAGGCAGCAGUGGGGAAUAUUGCACAGUGGGCGGAAGCCUGAUGCAGCAACGCCGCGUGCGGGAUGACGGCCUUCGGGUUGUAAACCGCUUUCGCCUGUGACGAAGCGUGAGUGACGGUAAUGGGUAAAGAAGCACCGGCUAACUACGUG